This 511-nucleotide ribosomal RNA is filed under the name uncultured bacterium. Its description in RNAcentral is "partial 16S ribosomal RNA". It matches the Rfam family "Bacterial small subunit ribosomal RNA", at positions 28 to 506 of the family's 1533-position model. The record is from RNAcentral.
GAUGAACGCUGGCGGCGUGCCUAAUACAUGCAAGUCGAACGAAACUUCUUUAUCACCGAGUGCUUGCACUCACCGAUAAAGAGUUGAGUGGCGAACGGGUGAGUAACACGUGGGCAACCUGCCCAAAAGAGGGGGAUAACACUUGGAAACAGGUGCUAAUACCGCAUAACCAUAGUUACCGCAUGGUAACUAUGUAAAAGGUGGCUAUACUACCGCUUUUGGAUGGGCCCGCGGCGCAUUAGCUAGUUGGUAGGGUAAAGGCUUACCAAGGCAAUGAUGCGUAGCCGAAUUGAGAGGUUGAUCGGCCACAUUGGGACUGAGACACGGCCCAAACUCCUACGGGAGGCAGCAGUAGGGAAUCUGCCACAAUGGGCGAAAGCCUGAUGGGGCAACGCCGCGUGGGUGAAGAAGGUCUUCGGAUCGUAAAACCCUGUUGUUAGAGAAGAAAGUGCGUGAGAGUAACUGUUCACGUUUCGACGGUAUCUAACCAGAAAGCCACGGCUAACUACGU